Molecule: ribosomal RNA, 204 nt
Filed under: uncultured bacterium
Lineage: Bacteria
Description: partial 16S ribosomal RNA
Rfam family: Bacterial small subunit ribosomal RNA
Source: RNAcentral
UACGGUAGGCAGCGAGCGUUGUCCGGAAUUAUUGGGCGUAAAGAGCUCGUAGGCGGUUCGUCGCGUCGAAUGUGAAACCCGGGCUCAACUCCGGGACCUGCAUUCGAUACGGGCGGACUAGAGGUAGGUAGGGGAGAACGGAAUUCCUGGUGUAGCGGUGGAAUGCGCAGGAUAAUCAGGAGGAACACCGGUGGCGAAGGGCGG